This 253-nucleotide ribosomal RNA is filed under the name uncultured bacterium. RNAcentral's name for it is "partial 16S ribosomal RNA". It matches the Rfam family "Bacterial small subunit ribosomal RNA", at positions 524 to 776 of the family's 1533-position model. The record is from RNAcentral.
UACGUAGGGGGCUAGCGUUGUCCGGAAUCAUUGGGCGUAAAGCGCGUGUAGGCGGUCCGGUAAGUCCGCUGUGAAAGUCGAGGGCUCAACCCUCGAAUGCCGAUGGAUACUGCCGGGCUAGAGUUCGGAAGAGGCGAGUGGAAUUCCUGGUGUAGCGGUGGAAUGCGCAGAUAUCAGGAGGAACACCUAUAGCGAAGGCAGCUCGCUGGGACGACACUGACGCUGAGACGCGAAAGCGUGGGGAGCGAACAGG